UGUCUUCUGAAGACCCCCUGUAGUGAGGUAGAGUAAACCAGAGGGUGAGGGACCUCUCUCUGAGCCCAGAUGAGUGGACAAAGCAGUACCAGCUCCUCCCAUGGGAAAUCAGGAGGCAGGACAGAAAGUAUAAAGGGCAGGUCCUGGGAUUCAGUUGGGCUGCAGCUGCCAGAACAGACAAGCACCUUCUGCCUGCUCCCAAGCUGGGAGACCAUAGAGGAGCCCUACCGUGCUCAGAACUGGCCAGAGCUGCCAGCUGAUCUGAGGCACUGAGUCUCUGGGACUGCUGCUGGCCCCCUAUCCUGAGGAGAUGGAGGACCCCCACUGAUCCAGAUUGGCUGAGAGGUAGGCCAGUCCCCCGUUCCAGUUUAUGCCUGGCUGUGCAAAGACCCAAUCAGAUGCUCCAGUAGCCUGAGGUCAGGUAGGUGCAGCGUUGCCUUGACCACUCUGCCUUUAAUCCAAUUUGGAUUACAACAGCCCUUUGACACUGAAGGACUUCUAUCAAGAAGAGGGAAUCCUCAAGAUGCAGAAUCCACUGUAUUUAGUCUGCUUUGUACUGCCAGUGCAACACUAAGGAGAGGGUUUUGAAGGCACCCAUUGGAGCUAUGGAGAUUCUGAAGCAGUUGAGACAUUCAGGACUGUAACAAAGUUGUGCAACACAUAUGGUUCCGAUGAUGACUCCAGUGUCUACUGCUGCACAUGGCCUCUUCAUAGAUGUUGUUGGCCUCCAUGACUCUCAAGAGAUCUGUGAGUUUUGGGGGAUUGAGCCCCUGGCCUGUUCCACUGGGGGGCAAAUCCAUGGCAGCAAUCCCUAGGGAUAUGAUCAGGUAAAGAUCUGGCAAAUCCAUGCUCAUAGUGUACGGGACUUGACACUGGAAAUAACUCCUGUAUGGGGAUGAUCUAGGCCAGGCUUUCUCAAACUGAGGGCUGGCCCCAUUAGUGGAAUCUGGACAAUGCCUGUAAAGGGCCUGAAACGUUUCUCUCUCUUUUUUUUUAUUUACAAGCUUGAAAUUAAGAAAACGUG
Molecule: long non-coding RNA, 1024 nt
Organism: Mauremys reevesii (Reeves's turtle)
Lineage: Eukaryota; Metazoa; Chordata; Testudines; Geoemydidae
Exons: 3
Source: RefSeq, a predicted model, not a curated record